RNAcentral lists this ribosomal RNA (368 nucleotides) under uncultured organism. RNAcentral describes it as "bacterial SSU rRNA". It matches the Rfam family "Bacterial small subunit ribosomal RNA", at positions 526 to 896 of the family's 1533-position model. The record is from RNAcentral.
CGUAGGUGGCAAGCGUUGUCCGGAUUUAUUGGGUUUAAAGGGUGCGUAGGCGGCCCUGUAAGUCAGUGGUGAAAUAUCUCAGCUUAACUGAGAGGGUGCCAUUGAUACUGCGGGGCUUGAGUACAGAUGAGGUAGGCGGAAUUGACGGUGUAGCGGUGAAAUGCAUAGAUAUCGUCAAGAACACCGAUAGCGAAGGCAGCUUACCAAGCUGUAACUGACGCUGAGGCACGAAAGUGUGGGGAUCAAACAGGAUUAGAUACCCUGGUAGUCCACACUGUAAACGUUGAUGACUCGAUGUUGGCGAUACACAGCCAGCGUCCAAGAGCAAUCGUUAAGUCAUCCACCUGGGGAGUACGCCGGCAACGGUG